GAUGAACGCUGGCGGCGUGCCUAAUACAUGCAAGUCGAGCGAACAGACGAGGAGCUUGCUCCUCUGACGUUAGCGGCGGACGGGUGAGUAACACGUGGAUAACCUACCUAUAAGACUGGGAUAACUUCGGGAAACCGGAGCUAAUACCGGAUAAUAUAUUGAACCGCAUGGUUCAAUAGUGAAAGACGGUUUUGCUGUCACUUAUAGAUGGAUCCGCGCCGCAUUAGCUAGUUGGUAAGGUAACGGCUUACCAAGGCAACGAUGCGUAGCCGACCUGAGAGGGUGGUCGGCCAAACUGGAACUGAGACACGGUCCAGACUCCUACGGGGGGCAGCAGUAGGGAAUCUUCCGCAAUGGGCGAAAGCCUGACGGAGCAACGCCGCGUGAGUGAUGAAGGUCUUCGGAUCGUAAAACUCUGUUAUUAGGGAAGAACAAAUGUGUAAGUAACUAUGCACGUCUUGACGGUACCUAAUCAGAAAGCCACGGCUAACUACGUG
This 497-nucleotide ribosomal RNA is filed under the name uncultured bacterium. RNAcentral describes it as "partial 16S ribosomal RNA". It matches the Rfam family "Bacterial small subunit ribosomal RNA", at positions 28 to 507 of the family's 1533-position model. The record is from RNAcentral.